CAGUUCUGGGCUGUCUUCGCCAAAAACGUGCUGGUGAAGGAAGAGGAGCAGCGAGAGGAACUGGUGCUCCAAGUUAAUCCUGACCCAGAGGGAAGACACUGAUUGGGAUUUCAGCCGGGAUGUGACCGCUUCCCCCGAGGGGUCACAGGAACCAAGGGCCAGCGGGCUGGGCGGGGUCGCUGUGCAGCAGCCUUCAGAAAAGGGACUCCAAGAUGUCCAAAGAGAGGGGAGGCUCCCAGGGGUUCUAGAAGGAGCUCGUUCACAGUCACGUCUCGGAAGCACCUGGUCAGGAUGCCUUGCUGAUGCUCAAGACUGGAGGGACGCCCGCACUCUGGUUCACACAUUAUAUAUAUCGUAGAAGAAAACCAUAGUGGCAGGAAAUACAUCAAAAUGUUACGAGUGGUGACCUUUGGGUAAUAAAACAUUUCUACCUUUUCUUUAUACUUUCCUGUGUUUUCCAAAUUUUUCUAUUUAAAACAUUUAUAAUUGGCAAAUGGAUAUAUAUACAGAUAGUUUCUAAGGAUGGAAAAACUAAAGUCUGGACAUUGACAGGGCUUUGCAGGGAGCAAUUCGGCAAAGGCCAUCGAAACGCUGCCUCCACCCCCGUCCUUUGACUCGGCAGCUCCACCAGGGGAAGCACAUCUAUUGCAACAUCAAAGGGAGCGUUCACUGAGCUGCUGUGGGAGGUGGCAAAGCAUCGGAAGCAUCCACAUUUUCCUUAAGAGGGGAAUGGUUGAAUAAUGGGUAAAUCUAUACAAACAAGGAUCACAGAAGGCAUGGAAAGGAGUUGGCGCCAGUAUGCAGAUCCGCAGACCUGGGGGACCCUCCCUAGCUGUGAAAGGAGGACAGCAGCUGCAGGAAAGGCAGGAAACGGCUUCUCUUAAGAGCAAAUGUCCCAGAGCCCGGAUACGCGGGCGUGCGUGUUGAAAUGUGCUGGCAGGCGCCUGGGAUGAGCGUAACUUUCACCUUGUAUUUAUUCCCAUACUUUUCUCAGACACACACACACACAAAAAGGUAUCGUUCAAUAGAAACUUGCAAACGUCAGGUGAGAACAGCCCCGUGUUUCAUUAACAUUUUCAGCUGGGCUUGAGCCUGAGUGUGCUGUGGUCCGCCCGUGCCCAGGUGCUCUCCAGGCCUUGGGGCCGAUUCCUGCUCGCUUGCCACACGCAGGUCCCUGCUUGGGCAGUUGGCUCCAGGGACUCAGCAGGGAAGAGGCUGUGCCUGAAGGAGGGGCAGCCGCAGGCCUCCCAGCAGGUAGGGCCGGGGCCCAAGACUGUGGCUGCCUGGCUCGGCACUUCCUGUUCUCGGGCCUUUGUCCCUUCCUGGAGGACCAGGUUUCUCUUGUUCCUCCCAAACUUUGGCCGGGCCGCUUCUGCAGCCUGCUCCCCAGGGCUGAGCUGGUGGCCAAAGAGGGGCUGACUGCACUUUCCUGAAGGGGAUUCUG
Molecule: long non-coding RNA, 1444 nt
Filed under: Equus caballus (horse)
Lineage: Eukaryota; Metazoa; Chordata; Mammalia; Perissodactyla; Equidae
Description: lncRNA (ENSECAG00000051714.1)
Source: RNAcentral